CUCUCUGGCCUCCAAGGUGAACCCAACUCCCCAGCGCGCCCCGGGUUCCCGGGUCGGGCCGGCUUCAGGCGGUGGGGAGCGGGAUCCCGGGCCCCGGGCGGGCGGGAGGGACGGGACGCGGUGCAGUGUUGUUUUUUCCCCCGCCAAUAUUGCACUCGUCCCGGCCUCCGGCCCCCCCGGCCCCCCGGCCUCCCCGCUACCCCUAGCGGGGCAGCCCCCGCCCUCCUGGCUCUCCAUCCCGGCGGAUCUUUGAUAGACUGGAGUGUCGCCGCUGCCACCGUGAGUGCUUGUGUCCGUGGUGAGAAGGGUGAUGGAGAGAAGUGGCUGCAGUUCCCACCCAUGGAGAGGUCACUGGUGAAUCCCAGCUAAAGAGGAAGGACAGGCCCGGCCUGAGUCCCACAGGGCUUGCUGCCUCCACCUGGGCAAAGGCAACACCAGUCUAACGUGCUCUGGGUCCGCAGGCUUACCAUCUGAGUCCUUCUGAUUGGGAUUGGGUACCAGGCGGCAGUUAUCGGGACCAGGAGGCACAUAAUCUGGGAUGCCAUCAUUGUCAUCAUCCCCAUCACACUCAUCUCCAAGUCCAUCGUUAUCAGAGUCCAGCUGGGAGCUAUUUGGCAGCUGUGGGCAGUUGUCCUUGGUGUCCUGAUGCCCAUCCCCAUCGCUAAUCAGAAGAACAGGUUGGUGAAAGUCCCGAACUUUGUCUCCCCACCCAGAGGACAACUGGCCAGGAAAUCUGCCUGUUUCUUGUCUCACCCUCUAGUCCACACUCUGCCUAACACUACGCCCUACCUCACAUUCCUAUUGACAUCUGCUGCAGAUCACACCCUUGUGAUGGACAAACUGCUCAGUACAGUCCCACCCACCCAGCCUCCUUGUCCUGGGCACGAGGUUUUUGCCUCCCUGAUUUGGAGUAUUUGGCCCUUACUAGAGAGCUGCCAGAUGAGAACUCAGAGGCUCCUCCCGGCUCACCUGCAUCCUCAAAUACGCCUUCUGUCCAGUCCUAAUCUCCAGCCCAUCGACCUCCGCUGGAGGAAUGGGGGCCAGUGCUGGAAGGCCUGCAUGUUGGUCACCCAGUUUGCAGUCCACGUAGAGAUGUAGGGCAGGGCUGGGUCUGGAGGGACCUCGGAGUCGCAGGAGAACUGUGUGUGUGCGCCCAUCAGCCAGGCCCGCUUGCUGUAGGUUCACGGCGUGGACUUUGCCAUCCUCCCGCUGGUAUCGCACCAGUACUGCCCAGGAGGGGAGAUCAGUAUGGGCGCUAUCCCCCACCCCCUGCCUCCCAGCUGAGCCUUGGAUCAACUCUGCUAGAUACCACAUCUCUAGGGCCCCUAUCCCUAAUUCUACUAUGUGGCUCUCAACACCUUGUAUUUAAUAGGUACACAAUAAAUGUUUUUGAAAUUGCUUU
This 1402-nucleotide long non-coding RNA is filed under the name Homo sapiens (human). Its description in RNAcentral is "THBS3 antisense RNA 1". Lineage: Eukaryota; Metazoa; Chordata; Mammalia; Primates; Hominidae. The record is from RNAcentral.